GUGCUCACUUCAGCAGCACAUAUACUAAAAUUGGAACGAUACAGAGAAGAUUAGCAUGGCCCCUGUGGGGGGGGGGAAUUAAAACACUAUGUUUUAUACAGUAUUUAU
Molecule: small nuclear RNA, 108 nt
Organism: Suncus etruscus (white-toothed pygmy shrew)
Lineage: Eukaryota; Metazoa; Chordata; Mammalia; Eulipotyphla; Soricidae
Source: RefSeq, a predicted model, not a curated record